RNAcentral lists this ribosomal RNA (478 nucleotides) under uncultured Acetothermia bacterium. RNAcentral describes it as "bacterial SSU rRNA". It matches the Rfam family "Bacterial small subunit ribosomal RNA", at positions 927 to 1382 of the family's 1533-position model. Lineage: Bacteria; Candidatus Bipolaricaulota. The record is from RNAcentral.
AAGCGGUGGAGCAUGUGGUUCAAUUCGAUGCAAACCGAAGAACCUUACCCGGGCUUGACAUGCUGGUGGUACCGACCCGAAAGGAAGGGACCCAUGGCCUUCGGGCGCUUGGGAACCAGCACAGGUGCUGCAUGGCUGUUGUCAGCUCGUGUCGUGGGAUGUUGGGUUAAGUCCUGAAACGAGCGCAACCCCUGCUGCCCGUUGCCAACGGACCCUGCGGGGUGCCGGGGACUCAGGCGGGACUGCCGGCGAAUAGCCGGAGGAAGGAGGGGAUGAUGUCAAGUCCUCAUGGCCCUUAUGUCCGGGGCUACACACAUGCUACAGUGCCCAGCACAAUGGGUCGCCAACCCGCAAGGGGGAGCCAAUCCCAUCAAAACUGGGCAUGGUUCGGAUUGCAGGCUGCAACCCGCCUGCAUGAAGCCGGAAUCGCUAGUAAUCGCGGGUCAGCCACACCGCGGUGAAUACGUACCCGGGGCUU